UACGUAGGGUGCGAGCGUUGUCCGGAAUUAUUGGGCGUAAAGGGCUCGUAGGCGGCUUGUCGCGUCGGGAGUGAAAACUCAGGGCUUAACCCUGAGCCUGCUUCCGAUACGGGCAGACUAGAGGUAUGCAGGGGAGAACGGAAUUCCUGGUGUAGCGGUGAAAUGCGCAGAUAUCAGGAGGAACACCGGUGGCGAAGGCGGUUCUCUGGGCAUUACCUGACGCUGAGGAGCGAAAGUGUGGGGAGCGAACAGG
RNAcentral lists this ribosomal RNA (253 nucleotides) under uncultured bacterium. Its description in RNAcentral is "partial 16S ribosomal RNA". It matches the Rfam family "Bacterial small subunit ribosomal RNA", at positions 524 to 776 of the family's 1533-position model. The record is from RNAcentral.